AUUGAACGCUGGCGGCAGGCUUAACACAUGCAAGUCGAGCGGGGGAAGGUAGCUUGCUACCGGACCUAGCGGCGGACGGGUGAGUAAUGCUUAGGAAUCUGUCUAUUAGUGGGGGACAACAUCUCGAAAGGGAUGCUAAUACCGCAUACGUCCUACGGGAGAAAGCAGGGGAUCUUCGGACCUUGCGCUAAUAGAUGAGCCUAAGUGGGAUUAGCUAGUUGGUGGGGUAAAGGCCUACCAAGGCGACGAUCUGUAGCGGGUCUGAGAGGAUGAGCAGCCACACUGGGACGGAGCCACGGCCCAGACUCCUACGGGAGGGAGCAGUGGGGAAUAUUGGAAAAUGGGGGGAACCCUGAUCCAGCCAUGCCGCGUGUGUGAAGAAGGCCUUAUGGUUGGAAAGCAUUUUAAGCGGGGAGGAGUCUACUCUAGUUAAUACCUAGGGAUAGUGGACGUUACUCGCAGAAUAAGCACCGGCUAACUCUGUGCCACCCGCCGCGGUAA
Molecule: ribosomal RNA, 501 nt
Filed under: uncultured bacterium
Lineage: Bacteria
Description: partial 16S ribosomal RNA
Rfam family: Bacterial small subunit ribosomal RNA
Source: RNAcentral